Acanthopagrus latus (yellowfin seabream) is the source of this 290-nucleotide long non-coding RNA. RefSeq lists it as uncharacterized. The record is from RefSeq and is a predicted model, not a curated record. The transcript has 2 exons. Lineage: Eukaryota; Metazoa; Chordata; Actinopteri; Spariformes; Sparidae.
GCCUGUUGGACAACAGCCUCUGCUUUCACUUACCCCCACUGGUGAACUCCCUCCUGAUUUCACCUGAGGCCAGAAUGUUGCUUUUACUCCAGCUGUUUCACCUUCUCUUAUAUGACCAUCCGAUGUUCCCCUGCUGUUGGCCGACCUGCCGUGUAAGGGACCAUCUCCGUGGAGAGAUGGACCCCGCAGGGACUUGCAAAGAGCUUAUCCAAGCCACGCAGGAGCAGCAAGAGUCAGAUGUCAUCCACAAUUGGGAGUGUAUCUCUUACAAAUAAAUGACUUAAAGCCUG